Long non-coding RNA from Daphnia magna, 579 nucleotides. RefSeq lists it as uncharacterized. The record is from RefSeq and is a predicted model, not a curated record. The transcript is spliced from 3 exons. NCBI's taxonomy places the organism in Eukaryota, Metazoa, Arthropoda, Branchiopoda, Diplostraca, Daphniidae.
GCUUAUUGUCAUGCACAAUACUUGAGCUCUAUGACUUUGGCCCUCUGGCUAUCAUUUUGGCUAUUUUGAAUAGCAUAUAUUUUUUUUAACAUACUACGUUUUUCUUUUAAACAAAUCAAUGGCCAUAUUGCUGUCAAACUAGCACACUUUUCAUUUCAAAAACUUUAUUUAACUUUUGUCUUAUCUCUAUUUAUGUGUUUAUGUAACUAUAACAAGUGUUAAGGUUUUUGGCGUGUUUUUCAAUGAGGUUAUAAUUGCGAGCGCCAGAUGGUGUCGUCGUAACCCUUAAUAUUUUGUCUGAUUGGCUCUUACUAGGGAACGCCUAGGACUAGGAGAUAUUCAAGUUUACAGGCCUUAACCAUUAAGUAGACCUUGAUUUAACACGUUUUGCAACUAGACGUCAUUUGAAUGGUGCUGUUCCUAUCUGCAGCCAUACAGUGUGCAAAAAUAGCGGUGGAAAAAAUCUGCUUAUCCUGCUGAUCUGCACAAUGCCAGUUUCAUUAAGCAAUCUUGAAAUGACCUAUGAACAGACUACAAAGUACUAGGGGCCCUCACUCCGUUCAGGAAGUUCCCGAUAGG